AGCAUAUCAAUAAGCGGAGGAAAAGAAACCAACCGGGAUUGCCUUAGUAACGGCGAGUGAAGCGGCAAAAGCUCAAAUUUGAAAUCUGGUACCUUUGGUGCCCGAGUUGUAAUUUGGAGAGGGCAACUUUGGGACCGUUCCUUGUCUAUGUUCCUUGGAACAGGACGUCAUAGAGGGUGAGAAUCCCGUGUGGCGAGGAGUGCGGUUCUAUGUAAAGUGCCUUCGAAGAGUCGAGUUGUUUGGGAAUGCAGCUCUAAGUGGGUGGUAAAUUCCAUCUAAAGCUAAAUAUUGGCGAGAGACCGAUAGCGAACAAGUACAGUGAUGGAAAGAUGAAAAGAACUUUGAAAAGAGAGUGAAAAAGUACGUGAAAUUGUUGAAAGGGAAGGGCAUUUGAUCAGACAUGGUGUUUUGCGCCCUCUGCUCCUUGUGGGUGGGGGAAUCUCGCAGUUCACUGGGCCAGCAUCAGUUUUGGUGGCAGGAUAAAUCCGUAGGAAUGUAACUUGCUUCGGGAAGUAUUAUAGCCUAUGGGAAUACUGCCAGCUGGGACUGAGGACUGCGACGUAAGUCAAGGAUGCUGGCAUAAUGGUUAUAUGCCG
Molecule: ribosomal RNA, 596 nt
Filed under: Saccharomyces x bayanus
Lineage: Eukaryota; Fungi; Ascomycota; Saccharomycetes; Saccharomycetales; Saccharomycetaceae
Description: LSU rRNA
Rfam family: Eukaryotic large subunit ribosomal RNA
Source: RNAcentral